This 270-nucleotide ribosomal RNA is filed under the name uncultured Desulfovibrio sp. Its description in RNAcentral is "partial 16S ribosomal RNA". It matches the Rfam family "Bacterial small subunit ribosomal RNA", at positions 1113 to 1382 of the family's 1533-position model. Lineage: Bacteria; Pseudomonadati; Thermodesulfobacteriota; Desulfovibrionia; Desulfovibrionales; Desulfovibrionaceae. The record is from RNAcentral.
AGUUGCUACCAGGUAAUGCUGGGCACUCUGGUGAGACUGCCCCGGUUAACGGGGAGGAAGGUGGGGACGACGUCAAGUCAUCAUGGCCCUUACGCCUAGGGCUACACACGUACUACAAUGGCGCAUACAAAGGGCAGCGAUACCGCGAGGUGGAGCCAAUCCCAAAAAGUGCGUCCCAGUCCGGAUUGCAGUCUGCAACUCGACUGCAUGAAGUUGGAAUCGCUAGUAAUUCGAGAUCAGCAUGCUCGGGUGAAUGCGUUCCCGGGCCUU